UCCUCUCUUGCCUUUUACCUCUGUUUAUUAACAGUAUUCAAUCAACUAUAAAGGCAAUAGUAACCCAACACACUACAGCGUAGUUGAUGGCAUUAACCAAAUAUCAGCUGCUGCCAGCAAAAGAAAAAUCUCAGCUCCACGGAGAGGCGGCAAAAUGUAGUGCUUUCUAUUAACACUUUUGUUAUAAAAAGCACCAAAGAGGGGAAUGGAACAGGAACUAAAAGGGUGACAGAGUGAGACUCUGUCUCAAAAAAGUAAAAUAAAUUUAAAAAAUAGCAAACAAAAUUCAACAAUACCCUAAAAAGAUCAUUCACCAGGAUCAAGUGGUAUUUAUUCCAGGGAUGCCAGAAUGUUUCAAUGUAUGUAAAUAAAUAAAUGUGAUACACCAAAUUUACAGAACGAAGAACAAAAACCAUAUGAUCAUUUCAAUAG
RNAcentral lists this long non-coding RNA (432 nucleotides) under Homo sapiens (human). Its description in RNAcentral is "non-protein coding lnc-CCR8-3:1". The record is from RNAcentral. Lineage: Eukaryota; Metazoa; Chordata; Mammalia; Primates; Hominidae.